This 32-nucleotide transfer RNA is filed under the name Hippotragus equinus (roan antelope). Its description in RNAcentral is "partial tRNA-Gly". Lineage: Eukaryota; Metazoa; Chordata; Mammalia; Artiodactyla; Bovidae. The record is from RNAcentral.
CAGUUAGUUUCGGUCUAACCCGAAAAAGAAUA